GGGUCAGUAGGUUGGUCGUGCCACCGGUACGUACUGGUCUCACUGAUUCCUCCUUCCUGAGGAACCGUAAUGCCAUUAAUUUGGUGUUGUGGGGAAACAGGACUGUUACUUUGAAAAAAUUAGAGUGUUUAAAGCAAGCUAACGCUUGAAUACAUUAGCAUGGAAUAAUGAAAUAGGACGAUCGAUCCUAUUUUGUUGGUUUCUAGGAUUGACGUA
RNAcentral lists this ribosomal RNA (216 nucleotides) under Glomeromycotina sp. RNAcentral describes it as "partial small subunit ribosomal RNA". The stretch from base 40 to 216 matches the Rfam family "Eukaryotic small subunit ribosomal RNA", at positions 686 to 864 of the family's 1831-position model. Lineage: Eukaryota; Fungi; Glomeromycota. The record is from RNAcentral.